This 464-nucleotide ribosomal RNA is filed under the name Vreelandella stevensii. RNAcentral describes it as "partial 16S ribosomal RNA". It matches the Rfam family "Bacterial small subunit ribosomal RNA", at positions 338 to 795 of the family's 1533-position model. Lineage: Bacteria; Pseudomonadati; Pseudomonadota; Gammaproteobacteria; Oceanospirillales; Halomonadaceae. The record is from RNAcentral.
CCUACGGGCGGCAGCAGUGGGGAAUAUUGGACAAUGGGCGAAAGCCUGAUCCAGCCAUGCCGCGUGUGUGAAGAAGGCCUUCGGGUUGUAAAGCACUUUCAGUGGGGAAGAAAGCCUUGGGGCUAAUACCCUCGAGGAAGGACAUCACCCACAGAAGAAGCACCGGCUAACUCCGUGCCAGCAGCCGCGGUAAUACGGAGGGUGCGAGCGUUAAUCGGAAUUACUGGGCGUAAAGCGCGCGUAGGCGGUCUGAUAAGCCGGUUGUGAAAGCCCCGGGCUCAACCUGGGAACGGCAUCCGGAACGGUCAGGCUAGAGUGCAGGAGAGGAAGGUAGAAUUCCCGGUGUAGCGGUGAAAUGCGUAGAGAUCGGGAGGAAUACCAGUGGCGAAGGCGGCCUUCCGGACUGACACUGACGCUGAGGUGCGAAAGCGUGGGUAGCAAACAGGAUUAGAUACCUAGUAGUC